UAGAAGAUGACGAGCGGCGGACGGGUGAGUAACGCGUAGAAAUCUACCUAGUAGUGGGGGAUAGCCCAGAGAAAUUUGGAUUAAUACCGCAUACGCCCUACGGGGGAAAGCAGGGGAUCUUCGGACCUUGUGCUAUUAGAUGAGUCUGCGUCGGAUUAGCUUGUUGGUGAGGUAAUGGCUCACCAAGGCGACGAUCCGUAGCUGGUCUGAGAGGAUGACCAGCCACACUGGAACUGAGACACGGUCCAGACUCCUACGGGAGGCAGCAGUGGGGAAUAUUGCACAAUGGGCGCAAGCCUGAUGCAGCCAUGCCGCGUGUGUGAAGAAGGCCUUCGGGUUGUAAAGCACUUUCAGCAGUGAGGAAAGGGGUGUCGUUAAUAGCGGCAUCCUGUGACGUUAACUGCAGAAGAAGACCGCUAACU
Molecule: ribosomal RNA, 422 nt
Filed under: uncultured bacterium
Lineage: Bacteria
Description: bacterial SSU rRNA
Rfam family: Bacterial small subunit ribosomal RNA
Source: RNAcentral